This 515-nucleotide ribosomal RNA is filed under the name Neoechinorhynchus buttnerae. RNAcentral's name for it is "partial small subunit ribosomal RNA". It matches the Rfam family "Eukaryotic small subunit ribosomal RNA", at positions 100 to 596 of the family's 1831-position model. Lineage: Eukaryota; Metazoa; Acanthocephala; Eoacanthocephala; Neoechinorhynchida; Neoechinorhynchidae. The record is from RNAcentral.
AUUACAUAAGUCUUGGUUUAUUAGAUCAUACGAAUCAUAUGGAUAACUGUGGAAAAUCUAGAGCUAAUACAUGCCACGAUGCUUCGACUAGCGAAGAGGAGCUUUUAUUAGGUCAAAGCCAAUGAUCCCCUAACGGGGUUCAAACGUUGUGCUGAUUCUGAGUAAAGUAAGCUGAUUGCAUUGCCUGAAAAGGGCAGGCAAGUGGCUUUUAAGCGUCUUCCCCAUUAACUUUUCGUUGGAGUUGAACUGGCCACCCUGGGCCGUACCGGGAAACGGGAAACCAGGGUCCAAUCCCGAAAAAAAACAAGAAAAACCGCUGGUCCCUUCCAAGGAAGGCGCAGGGGCGCCAAUUACCCCAUCCCAGAUUGGGGAAGGAGUGGCCAAAAAAAACCAUGCCCUAAUCCUCCGAAUCCGCAAUUGGAAAGAAAAACAUCAAAAUUCUUUUACCGAGAAUCAUUUGAAGGGCAGUUUUGGGGGCCGCAGCCCCCGUAAUUCCAGCUUCAAUAACCCAAGGU